UUAACUAUUUUCUGUUAGAAAGAAUAGAAUUAUAAAGGGGGAUUGGCCACUUAAGUAUUUCUAAGGGGAAAGAAUCCAUUGAGAGAGGUAAGAAAAAUCGGAAGUAAAGGGGAGUACUUGUGUAGACCAAUAAUAAAAUGUGCACAUACUGUGGUAGGCAGCACGAAAACACUUGGGAUCUCAAUGUUGUAGUAGAUGGUGUACAGGGAGGUCUGCUUCUUUGUUUAAAGGGAGAUGUGAUUAAGAAACUAUUUGGUAGUGUUAGGCAUUUUUAUUUUUUUAAAAGAUUUAUUUUAGAGAGUACGUGCACGAGUGGGGGGAGGAGCUGAGGGAGAGAAUCUUUAAGCAGUCCCCCUUCUGAGCCUGAGUGGGGUGCCUGUCUUGGGGGCUCCAUCCACUCACCUAUGAGAUCAUGACAUAAGCCAAAACCAAAGAGUCGGGCGCUUAACCAACUGAGCCACCCAGGUACCCCAAUGUUAGACAUUUUAAAAGGAAAAUCUACGUGGGAAAGGUUAUGAACAUCAACCAUAAAAUAACACUAGAACUGCUGCUUGGCACCCCUGAUACUCACAAGAGGAGUCAGGCGGUCAUGGGAUUCAUAAGCUGAAAUAGAUGUGGGCACUCAGUGAGGGAUGGAUUAAAUGCACGUUUGAGACUUAAUUCCAGAUGUGGAGAAAUGAUUGCACACUUGUCAUUACCUAGUGUUUGAGUUUUUCCAAGUGCUUUCAUAUGUAUGAUCUCACCUGAUUUUUGGAACUAGGACAGAUGGUGGCCAACUGAGGGGACAGAGGACUGAGAGGAGCCUUUAGGGAAUGGAUGAAGGUGAACUGGGUGUGGAUUUUUAGGGGUGAGGCCAGAGAGGGCAGAUAAGAGGCUCAGGGGUAGCCGUCUCUCCUUCACUGGCCUUCCACUUUGUGAACUCUUUUCACUCCUGGCUUGUUCCCUGGGAGUCUGAUUUGGGAGUUCAAAGCCUUGUAGCUUGGGAGGCCCAGUGGCAGCUGGGCAAGCCCCAGAGCCAGCCUUAGUGUUUACCUCAGUGUCCAGGAGAGAGAAUGAGGCCUCAAAAAUCUCUCAUAAAAAUAACAAAACCCCCUAAAACUUAGAAAGCUGAACAUUCUAGAUGUUCUCAAUAUGUAGCAGACCUACCCAGAUCUGAACAGGCUACAGCAAUUAAAAACAGUACAGGCAGAAUAUGCUAUGGAUGACCUACUGGCACACUUCUCUCUGGUUCCUGAGUAGGGGAGGCUCGGGGGGGCACCGGGUACAACGGAGCAGACUUUUAUACACCAAGCUCAGAUCUUUCCUUCCUUUUACCAACUAUUGGAUUCACAAGAGUGUAGGGGAGGUGACUCCUGCUGCCCCAGGCCCCUCUAGCCAGCUCGGAAGGGCUGGAAAUCCACCCUGUGGUUUUGACUCAGAUUUAGGGCCUGCAGAUUCCGAUUAAGUUGCCACUCUCCCCUGUAGGCCCCAGAAUGUCUGGUAUUUCUACAUCUAAUCUUAAAGCCUGCUUAGGAUAACAGUCCCCUUGGGAAUCUCUGACUCAAGACCAACGGAGGGACUGUGGGUUCAUGGGUGAUGCUUGCACUUUCAGGAAGCUCCAGGGAUUUUUGGUUGGAUUUGGAUACAAUUAGCUUUGAAAAAUGAAGGCAAAAAGUAAGGUGGCAAACUAAAGAGAUAAAAAGACUCCGUUUGCUGCCUGUGGAUCUGCUUUCAAAGAAUGAAAAUAACAUAUGGUCACUCAAAUCCACAGGAUGGAAGGAAGACUACUGGAAAUGUACCCCCUUGAGUGAUUUGUGCAUUUGAGUGCCGUCAUCGUAAGAUUUCCCAGCACAGCUGACUGCUGAUUUGGCUGAAAGUAUAAUUUAGGCUCAAGUUCAUAGUUGAUUGGAAUUUUAAAGACUUUGAGAUUUUAUCAUUGUUCUUGGAGUUCUGAAAUUUUG
Molecule: long non-coding RNA, 1940 nt
Organism: Mirounga angustirostris (Northern elephant seal)
Lineage: Eukaryota; Metazoa; Chordata; Mammalia; Carnivora; Phocidae
Exons: 3
Source: RefSeq, a predicted model, not a curated record